UGCUACAAUGGUGCUACUAGUGUC
This 24-nucleotide non-coding RNA is filed under the name Arabidopsis thaliana (thale cress). Lineage: Eukaryota; Viridiplantae; Streptophyta; Magnoliopsida; Brassicales; Brassicaceae. The record is from RNAcentral.